RNAcentral lists this ribosomal RNA (497 nucleotides) under uncultured bacterium. Its description in RNAcentral is "partial 16S ribosomal RNA". It matches the Rfam family "Bacterial small subunit ribosomal RNA", at positions 28 to 507 of the family's 1533-position model. The record is from RNAcentral.
GAUGAACGCUGGCGGCGUGCCUAAUACAUGCAAGUCGAGCGAACAGACGAGGAGCUUGCUCCUCUGACGUUAGCGGCGGACGGGUGAGUAACACGUGGAUAACCUACCUAUAAGACUGGGAUAACUUCGGGAAACCGGAGCUAAUACCGGAUAAUAUAUUGAACCGCAUGGUUCAAUAGUGAAAGACGGCUUUGCUGUCACUUAUAGAUGGAUCCGCGCCGCAUUAGCUAGUUGGUAAGGUAAAGGCUUACCAAGGCAACGAUGCGUAGCCGACCUGAGAGGGUGAUCGGCCACACUGGAACUGAGACACGGUCCAGACUCCUACGGGAGGCAGCAGUAGGGAAUCUUCCGCAAUGGGCGAAAGCUUGACGGAGCAACGCCGCGUGAGUGAUGAAGGUCUUCGGAUCGUAAAACUCUGUUAUUAGGGAAGAACAAAUGUGUAAGUAACUAUGCACGUCUUGACGGUACCUAAUCAGAAAGCCACGGCUAACUACGUG